GCCAGUAGGGUAGACCCAUGUUGGUCUCUGUGGCCAGUGGGAUCCUCAUCUGAGGCUCUGGUCACCAGCUGCAGGAGCUUGAGGCAGUUAAAGUGGUAUCAAUGAUGGUAAUGGGCACAAGCUGCUUCCUGACCACUGGAUUUUAGCUACAGUCAUGUUAACCUGAACCAACUUGUCUUAGCUCUCUGAAGGAUCUUGAGAAAUGGCAAGAUACUGUCUGGAGUUGACAUGAGAAAUCCCACCUUCCCUGACUUUAAAGCAGGAAGAGUAUCACUAGCAGGUAAAUGAAAAGCCUGAAGGAAAUUGAAGAAGAAAAAGAAAGUGGGGGUCAGGAGAGGAAGAAAAGAUAAAAGAAUGUUAAACUAAUAUAUCCAGAAUUAAUCGUGGAGCACUUUGGACCUUAUUUUCAAAUCAUAAUAGGCAAAUGAAACAUAUUAACAGUUAUAGGCACCCAAUUAUGACCACCUCCAUCAGCCAAAAUGGAUAAUCCUGGAAUUAAAUAAGAAGUACAAUGGGCAGCCUGCAUUGUAUUUGAAAAUUGGAGGACUUCUCUAAAACUUGUGUAGAAAUAGACUGCAACCCCAGCUCUCCAAGUCGUACUUGGCACACGUUGAGCAGUCACCUCAGAGUUUGGAUAAAGCUGCCUAAUA
Long non-coding RNA from Canis lupus familiaris (dog), 650 nucleotides. RefSeq lists it as uncharacterized. The record is from RefSeq and is a predicted model, not a curated record. NCBI's taxonomy places the organism in Eukaryota, Metazoa, Chordata, Mammalia, Carnivora, Canidae. The transcript has 3 exons.